This 468-nucleotide ribosomal RNA is filed under the name uncultured bacterium. RNAcentral's name for it is "partial 16S ribosomal RNA". It matches the Rfam family "Bacterial small subunit ribosomal RNA", at positions 28 to 507 of the family's 1533-position model. The record is from RNAcentral.
GACAAACGCUGGCGGCGUGCUUAACACAUGCAAGUCGAACGGAAAGGCCCUGCUUUUGUGGGGUGCUCGAGUGGCGAACGGGUGAGUAACACGUGAGUAACCUGCCCUUGACUUUGGGAUAACUUCAGGAAACUGGGGCUAAUACCGGAUAGGAGCUCCUGCUGCAUGGUGGGGGUUGGAAAGUUUCGGCGGUUGGGGAUGGACUCGCGGCUUAUCAGCUUGUUGGUGGGGUAGUGGCUUACCAAGGCUUUGACGGGUAGCCGGCCUGAGAGGGUGACCGGCCACAUUGGGACUGAGAUACGGCCCAGACUCCUACGGGAGGCAGCAGUGGGGAAUAUUGCACAAUGGGCGGAAGCCUGAUGCAGCAACGCCGCGUGCGGGAUGACGGCCUUCGGGUUGUAAACCGCCUUCGCCUGUGACGAAGCGUGAGUGACGGUAAUGGGUAAAGAAGCACCGGCUAACUACGUG